RNAcentral lists this long non-coding RNA (1078 nucleotides) under Cricetulus griseus (Chinese hamster). RNAcentral describes it as "lncRNA (ENSCGRG00015037131.1)". Lineage: Eukaryota; Metazoa; Chordata; Mammalia; Rodentia; Cricetidae. The record is from RNAcentral.
GGCAUAUAUCUCCACAAAAAUGGAACAGAUUUUCAAAUAUUAUAAUAUAAAGCAUGUCACCGGUAUACUACACAAUCAUACAGGACAAGCAGUGGUUGAGAGAUCUAAUAGGACACUUAAGGAGAUGCUCCAUAGACAAGCUGGAGAAGAAAAACUUUGGAUACCAUCAAAGUUGAUCAAGAUUCGAAUUGAAAAAGACAAAGACAAACCUCUGGACAAGGACCAGUGACAGGUAUUUACUGAGGUAUAUCUCAUAAACUAAAUAGAAAACUCCCAAAGGAAAGGUAAGUGUUUUACUUCUAUCUUCACAGAAAAACUCAUUUCCAGAAAUCCAAGAACACUACAUUGGUAGAUGCUUAAGAAGAGAAGGUAGCUAUCACCAUCAAACAAAAGGAAUGUGCCAUACGGUAAUCUUUACAGCUGUCUCCCAAAUAACUCUAUUUCUCUUUAUUUCCUAGUUCCUAAUCAAGUAAAUCAAUGCUGGAUUUAUAGUUGGAUUUGGCUUUCCUCCCCUAAAAUCCAAGCACAUUUUUAACUACACCUUAGAGUUUCUGUAUUGUAUCAAGAAGCCAAUUGAUGUAAUUCAGAAUGAGAGAAGAAUUUGAGGACUGUCUUUGUCUUUCUUGGUUCUUUCCUUCAAGGUGUACACCAUUUUACAAUCAUUAUUUUUCCACUAUUGCCUUUUUCAGCAUGCAUACAUAUACAAGCAAACAUUUCUCUGCUAACACUUAUGUUUGAGUCUCACACAGCCAAUAAAGACCUGCCUGACAGCAAUCCCUGGAUGCUCUGGAAAAUAAAUUGGGCCAUACCUCCUCGACUGCACUGGAUCCAGCUUACUCUGUUUCAACUGACACUCCGACCAGAGCUUCAAGCACUGACUUCAAUCAAGUUGAGGAUUUCAACCUAGAUCUUCAAUCAAGCAAAUCCCAUCUAACAAGGACUGGUUAUAAUCCAUUAGAGACUUUCACUCUACUAACAUUUUCUUCCCACAGGACCCAUUGUCCCAUUUCAGCAGGAAGUAACUUGGAGAAUACUAUGCCCAUAUUCCCCAUUAUUGUCUAUUAGGGUAGUAUAAGCC